UGCAUUAUGCUCAUGUUUGUAAAGUUCAUCAACCAUAUUUUUGAUAAUUAUCUUAAAUGCUGAGGAUCAAGAAAAGAUCCCUGGGCCCCCACCUCUUUCCACACUGACACUGGCUCUUUUACUAUGUUUUAGAUCUGGUCAGCUGGGAAUUCAAAACUACCAAGUUCUGCUAUUGUGCAGUGCAUUUGUCUCCAUAGUGUGCUCCAGGACAAUCCUUUUCAAGGUAAUCUCCAAAGCUAGAAUGUUCUCAUUCUCGUCCAGGCCUCUUGGAACUUUGACUACAUGGGAGGAUUAGCUCAAAUACCACUUCUGAUUGCCCAAACUGAUAUAUAUAUAGUAACCCAGGACUAUUUUUAGAUUUUAAUCCUCAAAAGUGUAAACAUCAUACUUAAAGGUUGAGCAUGAAGAUCUGCCCAUUUUAGAUUGGAUCACCAAAAGUGAAAAAACCCAUUCACAUUUGAAUAGGGGACGUCUGUGACCUACAUGUGUGAUAGGGGUGAUGAAUCAGAAUCGACUGACUGCCUUCUGUGCAGUACUAGAGCAGAGCAUCAACUGUGAUCAGUAGACAUAAAAUUAGGGGAAGACACAGGAAAUGACACAAGAGAAAAUGUCUUUAGAAGGGAGUGAUAGCUUCCUGAAGGAGUUCUAUUCUUCAUGAUUUUGAGAUGAGGCUGGUGAAGAGGGACAGAAGGAUCUGCUGCUUGGACCUGAGAACCUGUUCCUUUAGACAGACAUGUGGUAAGUGAAAAGCUGACUCUUAAAUGCUGGAUAUUCAGAAGA
Molecule: long non-coding RNA, 780 nt
Filed under: Monodelphis domestica (gray short-tailed opossum)
Lineage: Eukaryota; Metazoa; Chordata; Mammalia; Didelphimorphia; Didelphidae
Description: lncRNA (ENSMODG00000029887.2)
Source: RNAcentral